RNAcentral lists this unclassified non-coding RNA (208 nucleotides) under Hevea brasiliensis (rubber tree). Lineage: Eukaryota; Viridiplantae; Streptophyta; Magnoliopsida; Malpighiales; Euphorbiaceae. The record is from RNAcentral.
AAACCAAAUCACCAAUUACUGUAGAAAUAGUUAAUUCACAAGAUUAUUGUCGCGUUAAAACUAGCUUAUUUGCAGCCACCGCACACCAAGAAUGUAAAACUUAGUGCAGCAUCAAUGGCAAGAGGAUUAGCUAAGCUAACCCCUGAUUGUUCUGAAUCCAGGCUUUGCAGUCAUCUAAUCAUACAACAAAUAUGUAAACCAAACAAGG